Long non-coding RNA from Nerophis lumbriciformis (worm pipefish), 1016 nucleotides. RefSeq lists it as uncharacterized. The record is from RefSeq and is a predicted model, not a curated record. NCBI's taxonomy places the organism in Eukaryota, Metazoa, Chordata, Actinopteri, Syngnathiformes, Syngnathidae.
GCCAGAGUGUUUUCGUAUCUUUUGUGCGAACCUCCAGUGUUCCAUGUCCACAGCCAUUGGCACGUUAUUCGUACCCUUUUUGUCAGCAUAAUUGUUCCUACUGAUUAUUUGUGACCUCUGACCUUACAAAUGGAUACAGAUUCCCCCACACCCAAAAGGGCAGAGGCGGACGCCUGCAUGCUCUAAGAGACGUCUCACAGCCCCGAGAGAUGGAGGAGAUUAUGCUUUGCGCAGUUGGGAGUGAUGGGCUUUUUUCACCUCCUUGUCCGCCAAAAUCUUCUCCAAAGCUCUGGCCGGAGGAGGAGUGAGGGAGAGGAGAUCGAGGGCUCCAAAAACGAUGUUGUUUCCCCCUCGGCGAUGUCAGGCCACACCAACAAAAAACCAAACGCACAAAAAAGGUGGGCUCAAUCCCGUCCGACGGACAUCAACGACCUGCCUCCUGCGCCAUGUUGGAGAGGAAGCGACGUCACGCACGUCGGCGAGCGGCCGCAGUGAGGCAGCAGGGAGAUGCUGCUGCUGCUGCUGCUGCUCGGAGAGGCUGCUGCCCCCGCGACCUGGCCUCGGAUAAGUGGAAGAAGUUGGAUGGAUGGAUGGUUGAACACUUAACAUGGCGCAUCAGCGUGCCUCACUCGUACCGGUGUAGCCAACAUCGUGGAUCAACUAUGGCCACACGUUUGCUUUUUCUUUGGCUUUGUAUGUAACAAAGUCAGUGUGCAUCAUGUCACCUUACGAGGGCUCGGUUUAGCUAAAACCAAAAGAUUUUCUCUCACCAUUUGCUUUUUCUUAGGCUUUUUGUGUCAUUUUUUAGCCCUCAUUCAAAAUGAGUGAGCUGCCAUCAACAUACCGUGCCAGACUUUUCUUUUUUUUUUACUUUAUCCAUAAAAUAUCUUGUCCUUGAACAUUGCUGCUUCUUUUUAAAGAAAUAAAUACUAAUUGCAAUGAAUGUCAUAUAUUAAAACAAAGAAAUGAAGACAAAAACAUAUUUAUUUUCAUUAUGCUACAAAAAUAUAAACUAU